RNAcentral lists this ribosomal RNA (266 nucleotides) under uncultured archaeon. RNAcentral's name for it is "partial 16S ribosomal RNA". It matches the Rfam family "Archaeal small subunit ribosomal RNA", at positions 717 to 982 of the family's 1478-position model. The record is from RNAcentral.
AGACGUCUACAUUAGGAUACCCGCGUAGUCCCAGCCGUAAACUAUGCUCGCUAGGUGUCAGGCAUGGCGCGACCGUGUCUGGUGCCGCAGGGAAGCCGUGAAGCGAGCCACCUGGGAAGUACGGCCGCAAGGCUGAAACUUAAGGGAAUUGGCGGGGGAGCACCACAACGGGUGGAGCCUGCGGUUUAAUUGGACUCAACGCCGGGAAGCUCACCGGAUAAGACAGCGGAAUGAUUGCCGGGCUGAAGACUCUGCAUGACUAGCUG